RNAcentral lists this ribosomal RNA (497 nucleotides) under uncultured bacterium. RNAcentral's name for it is "partial 16S ribosomal RNA". It matches the Rfam family "Bacterial small subunit ribosomal RNA", at positions 28 to 507 of the family's 1533-position model. The record is from RNAcentral.
GAUGAACGCUGGCGGCGUGCCUAAUACAUGCAAGUCGAGCGAACGGACGAGAAGCUUGCUUCUCUGAUGUUAGCGGCGGACGGGUGAGUAACACGUGGAUAACCUACCUAUAAGACUGGGAUAACUUCGGGAAACCGGGGCUAAUACCGGAUAAUAUUUUGAACCGCAUGGUUCAAAAGUGAAAGACGGUCUUGCUGUCACUUAUAGAUGGAUCCGCGCUGCAUUAGCUAGUUGGUAAGGUAACGGCUUACCAAGGCAACGAUGCAUAGCCGACCUGAGAGGGUGAUCGGCCACACUGGAACUGAGACACGGUCCAGACUCCUACGGGAGGCAGCAGUAGGGAAUCUUCCGCAAUGGGCGAAAGCCUGACGGAGCAACGCCGCGUGAGUGAUGAAGGUCUUCGGAUCGUAAAACUCUGUUAUUAGGGAAGAACAUAUGUGUAAGUAACUGUGCACAUCUUGAUGGUACCUAAUCAGAAAGCCACGGCUAACUACGUG